Long non-coding RNA from Erigeron canadensis, 771 nucleotides. RefSeq lists it as uncharacterized. Lineage: Eukaryota; Viridiplantae; Streptophyta; Magnoliopsida; Asterales; Asteraceae. The transcript has 2 exons. The record is from RefSeq and is a predicted model, not a curated record.
UUUUUACCAUACUUCUUAUCCAUAACAACACCAAUAUUACAAAUCAAUGUGAUUUCUUUAUAAACUUGAUCAUGUCUAACAAGAUAAAGUUAAAUAAUAAUAAUCUUCCAAAUUAACAAAUGAAAAUCAAAUGGGAGCUGAGUUGUGCAUGGAAGACAAGAAGCUAGUUGCUAUAGAAACAAGAAAUUAGUUGCUAUGAUUCUCUAAGUUAUUUCGUGUUCGGUUUGAGGUGUAAUUGCAAGAACCAUUUGGAUGUAUCAGUUGUCGCGGUUCAGGUGAGUAUAUCUUUAUGUAUAUAUUCUGUCAUGGGGGUUAAUAUGAUUUGAAAAACAAACCAUGAUUAACUGGUUAUAUAUUGUGUGAGGCCACAAGUCUUGGGUAAUGAUUCAUGAGCUUGGUGGUUUAAUAUGGAUCCAUAUUAUGUAUGAGGGUUAGGACGUUAUGUAAGACCCGAUUGGCUUUAACGUUCCUAACAUGAUGUGAUAUGAGAUGUGGUUGGCAUGACAUGUAUGUAAAUAUAUAGAUAUACUCAUAAAGCAUUCGCUUAUUGUUUAGUUCUUCUCAUUUCUAUAAGCAUUCCUAAUGUAUCGAGACAAGAAGAAGAUGGACUAGAAGUUUUGCGGUGCAGAAGUAUAUCUUAGAGGAUAUAACUUAUUUGUGAUCAUGGGUUAGUGAUCCCUUACACUUAUAUUUUUGGUACUUAUAUGUGCCCAUAAUAAUUAAAAUUGGAUCUUUUUGACAUAUAUAUUUAAUAUAUCAUUUUUGGAUUUU